ACACGUGAAACCCUGUGGGAAGCAGGAGGGACCACCCUCCAAGGCUAAAUACUACCUAGUGACCGAUAGCGUAUAGUACCGUGAGGGAAAGGUGAAAAGAACCCCGGGAGGGGAGUGAAAUAGAACCUGAAACCCUGCACUUACAAGCUGUGGAAGCACAUUUCUUGUGUGACCGCGUACUUUUUGUAGAACGGGCCAACGAGUUACGUUAAGUAGCAAGGUUAAGCACUUAAGGUGUGGAGCCGUAGCGAAAGCGAGUUUUAACUGAGCGUUCAGUUACUUGACGUAGACCCGAAACCGGGCGACCUACCCAUGAGCAGGAUGAAGCGAAAGUAAAAUUUCGUGGAGGUCCGAACCCACGAGCGUUGAAAAGCUCGGGGAUGACUUGUGGGUAGCGGUGAAAUUCCAAUCGAGCCCGGAGAUAGCUGGUUCUCCCCGAAAUAGCUUUAGGGCUAGCCUCAAGGUGAGAGAUACGGAGGUAGAGCACUGAAUGUCCUAGGGGGUAUUGCACCUACCGAAGACUAUCAAACUCCGAAUGCCGUCAUCUUAUACUUGGGAGUCAGACUGUGGGUGAUAAGAUUCAUAGUCGAAAGGGCAACAGCCCAGAUCGUCAGCUAAGGUCCCUAAAUGUAAGUUAAGUGGUAAAGGAUGUGGGAUUGCACAGACAACCAGGAUGUUGGCUUAGAAGCAGCCACUCAUUCAAAGAGUGCGUAAUAGCUCACUGGUCGAGUGAUCCUGCGCCGAAGAUUUCCGGGGCUAAAACUUACUACCGAAGCUACGGCAUCAGUAAUGA
This 793-nucleotide ribosomal RNA is filed under the name Clostridioides difficile. Its description in RNAcentral is "partial 23S ribosomal RNA". It matches the Rfam family "Bacterial large subunit ribosomal RNA", at positions 422 to 1217 of the family's 2925-position model. Lineage: Bacteria; Bacillati; Bacillota; Clostridia; Peptostreptococcales; Peptostreptococcaceae. The record is from RNAcentral.